AUUGAACGCUGGCGGCGUGCUUAACACAUGCAAGUCGAACGAGUGGCGAACGGGUGAGUAACGCAUCGGCACGUGCCUAAUCAAGGGGGAUAACUGUCAGAAAGGACAGCUAAUACCGCAUAAUAUUCGAUCGGCCGUUGUCGGAUUAGCUGGUUGGCGGGGUAAAGGCCCACCAAGGCGACGAUCCUUAGCGGGUCUGAGAGGAUGAUCGGCCACACUGGGACUGAGACACGGCCCAGACUCCUACGGGAGGCAGCAGUGGGGAAUCUUGGACAAUGGGCGAAAGCCUGACCGAGCCAUGCCGCGUGUGUGAAGAAGGCCUUCGGGUUGUAAAGGACUGUUGUCAGGGAAGCGGUACCUGAAGAGUAAGCACCGGCUAACUACGUGCCAGCAGCCGCGGUAAUAC
This 406-nucleotide ribosomal RNA is filed under the name uncultured bacterium. RNAcentral's name for it is "partial 16S ribosomal RNA". It matches the Rfam family "Bacterial small subunit ribosomal RNA", at positions 30 to 526 of the family's 1533-position model. The record is from RNAcentral.